Molecule: ribosomal RNA, 550 nt
Filed under: uncultured bacterium
Lineage: Bacteria
Description: bacterial SSU rRNA
Rfam family: Bacterial small subunit ribosomal RNA
Source: RNAcentral
UAGGGAAUCUUCGGCAAUGGACGGAAGUCUGACCGAGCAACGCCGCGUGAGUGAAGAAGGUUUUCGGAUCGUAAAGCUCUGUUGUAAGAGAAGAACGAGUGUGAGAGUGGAAAGUUCACACUGUGACGGUAUCUUACCAGAAAGGGACGGCUAACUACGUGCCAGCAGCCGCGGUAAUACGUAGGUCCCGAGCGUUGUCCGGAUUUAUUGGGCGUAAAGCGAGCGCAGGCGGUUAGAUAAGUCUGAAGUUAAAGGCUGUGGCUUAACCAUAGUAGGCUUUGGAAACUGUUUAACUUGAGUGCAAGAGGGGAGAGUGGAAUUCCAUGUGUAGCGGUGAAAUGCGUAGAUAUAUGGAGGAACACCGGUGGCGAAAGCGGCUCUCUGGCUUGUAACUGACGCUGAGGCUCGAAAGCGUGGGGAGCAAACAGGAUUAGAUACCCUGGUAGUCCACGCUGUAAACGAUGAGUGCUAGGUGUUAGACCCUUUCCGGGGUUUAGUGCCGUAGCUAACGCAUUAAGCACCCCGCCUGGGGAGUACGACCGCAAGGUUG